GGUUGUGUAGUGUAGUGGUGAUCACUCCGGAUUUUGAUCACUUUCGACCAAAACUUCCGGCAACCCCGGUUCGAGCCCGGGCACGACCU
Westerdykella ornata is the source of this 89-nucleotide non-coding RNA. The record is from the annotation of a RefSeq genome assembly. Lineage: Eukaryota; Fungi; Ascomycota; Dothideomycetes; Pleosporales; Sporormiaceae.